AAACGACUCUCGGCAACGGAUAUCUCGGCUCUUGCAUCGAUGAAGAACGUAGGGAAAUGCGAUACUUGGUGUGAAUUGCAGAAUCCCGUGAACCAUCGAGUCUUUGAACGCAAGUUGCGCCCGAGGCCAUUUAGGUUGAGGGCACGUCGUCCUGGGCGUCACACACA
RNAcentral lists this ribosomal RNA (167 nucleotides) under Actaea nanchuanensis. RNAcentral describes it as "5.8S ribosomal RNA". It matches the Rfam family "5.8S ribosomal RNA". Rfam says of the family: 5.8S ribosomal RNA (5.8S rRNA) is a component of the large subunit of the eukaryotic ribosome. It is transcribed by RNA polymerase I as part of the 45S precursor that also contains 18S and 28S rRNA. The record is from RNAcentral. Lineage: Eukaryota; Viridiplantae; Streptophyta; Magnoliopsida; Ranunculales; Ranunculaceae.